Molecule: long non-coding RNA, 513 nt
Organism: Oreochromis niloticus (Nile tilapia)
Lineage: Eukaryota; Metazoa; Chordata; Actinopteri; Cichliformes; Cichlidae
Exons: 3
Source: RefSeq, a predicted model, not a curated record
ACUCGCCUUACUCAUGUUGCAGUCUGAGGCACGCAGUUCCAGUUUGUUUUUAACCAUAUCUGUUUUUGGAUGCAUUUGAUUGCUUUUUUCCCACCUGUUUGUGUCAUAUCUCCCUCACCAGCCUUUUCCUGCAUUACUUUCAACAAAAGAUGUUGCAGUAAAGAGCCCAAAGAUCUGGUGCUGUCCCCCGCUUCUUAUUCACACGCCAUUGCACAACGUGUCGACAGGUGUAACACACACAAACGGGUUACAUAUGCAUUUGAGGAGAAGCUGAUUACAAAGAUCUAGUCUGGUUAAAUAUUACAGUUGAUCUUUCAGUUUCAUUUCUUGGUCAUGGAUGAUUUUGUAAGAAACAAACUGAUUGAAUGGCAGCUAAGUGAGUUGGAGGAACGAUUUGAAGAUAACAAAAUUACAGAGGAAAGCCUUUUCUGUCUUACUGAAAAUGACAUCACUGAGCUAAUCCGUUUAGUUGGUCCAAGGGCAAGAUUCAGAUGCAGACUUGAGCAGUUAAAG